Oryzias melastigma (Indian medaka) is the source of this 685-nucleotide long non-coding RNA. RefSeq lists it as uncharacterized. The transcript is spliced from 3 exons. The record is from RefSeq and is a predicted model, not a curated record. Lineage: Eukaryota; Metazoa; Chordata; Actinopteri; Beloniformes; Adrianichthyidae.
CCCGGUGUCGCAUUGUGUUGCAGUUCGACACAAACAGAAGGUGAGACCCCGUUUUAACACCGCAAUGUCACGCCGCCGGAAAAUGCCCACGACUCUCGGACCUCGAGCGGCGGCGGCUUCAGUCACCGACGCAGGCGGGGAAGGCAGCGCCGCAUCCCCGGCAGCCGCUGCACUUCAGCGGCGGAGACCUGUUAAGCCAUCAAUUCUACCGCGGUAGCGACACGGACAGCAGUUGUUGCAUGUGUGAAGAGACGGGAGCCCACACAUCAUACAUGAGACGAACAGGAUCACAGCUGCUGUGCUCCAGGGCUCAUCGUGUGGUUCUCCUCACCAUCACAGUCACUUCAGCGUGGUUUCCGUGGACCAUUCCCUCAAAAUGGCGCCACUUCCCAGCAUCAAAGAGCUGCUCUUGAACUUUGCAGGGACUGACAGGGACAAAAAGCGGAAUCUAAAGUUGUACAUGGGAGCUCCAGCCGUGAGCUUCAGCUGAAGAAGCAGCUGCUGCUUCAUCUCUCCUCUUAGACCAAGAUUGAUGGAAAUCAAAGUUCACAGAUAACUCAAAGGAAAUUAAAUGAAAAAAUAAUAAAAAUGACAAAAAACAUUUUCAGAAAAUUAAUCACGGAAAUUUACAAGAAAAAAGUCAUACAUUUAGCCUACGACUCUUAAAGUAAAAAAAAAAAUGACU